RNAcentral lists this long non-coding RNA (366 nucleotides) under Heterocephalus glaber (naked mole-rat). Its description in RNAcentral is "lncRNA (ENSHGLG00000037181.1)". The record is from RNAcentral. Lineage: Eukaryota; Metazoa; Chordata; Mammalia; Rodentia; Bathyergidae.
GGAUCUUGCUAUAUAUUUCAGGCUAGCCUUGAACUCCCUGGGGCCACCUCACCUCAUAGCGAUCCUCCUGCCUCAGCCUCUGGAGACCUGGGACUACAGGCAUGCAGCACCUCACCCGGCAACUCGUUAGAGCUGAGACCUCAAUGGUUCCAUGAUGCUGUGACGCUCAACGGCAGGAUUACACCAGCUGAAGACGCCCUGGGUCUCUGAGAACCGAGCAGAAAGGCCUUACCUGGGGAAGGACAAAUCAAAUUCCUUAUCAGCUUAACUCAUCCCACCUACUGUUGUAAGCGCAUCUUCCACAUCUGGCCUUCCUGAUGAACGUAAGGCCCUGGUCAGUGUAAAAUCCUCAUCAGCAUAAGAUCC